This 466-nucleotide ribosomal RNA is filed under the name uncultured bacterium. RNAcentral's name for it is "partial 16S ribosomal RNA". It matches the Rfam family "Bacterial small subunit ribosomal RNA", at positions 28 to 507 of the family's 1533-position model. The record is from RNAcentral.
GACGAACGCUGGCGGUGUGCUUAACACAUGCAAGUCGAACGGUAAGGCCCUUUCGGGGGUACACGAGUGGCGAACGGGUGAGUAACACGUGAGUAACCUGCCCUCAUCUCUGGGAUAACAGUCGGAAACGGUUGCUAAUACUGGAUAUGAGCUUGCAAGGCAUCUUGUGGGUUGGAAAGAUUUUUUUGGUUGGGGAUGGACUCGCGGCCUAUCAGCUUGUUGGUGAGGUAGUGGCUCACCAAGGCUUCGACGGGUAGCCGGCCUGAGAGGGCGACCGGCCACAUUGGGACUGAGAUACGGCCCAAACUCCUACGGGAGGCAGCAGUGGGGAAUAUUGCACAAUGGACGGAAGUCUGAUGCAGCAACGCCGCGGGCGGGAGGACGGCCUUCGGGUUGUAAACCGCUUUCAAUUGUGACGAAGCUUUUUGUGACGGUAGCAGUAGAAGAAGCACCGGCUAACUACGUG